This 729-nucleotide ribosomal RNA is filed under the name Candidatus Tremblayella phenacoccinincola. RNAcentral describes it as "bacterial SSU rRNA". It matches the Rfam family "Bacterial small subunit ribosomal RNA", at positions 658 to 1382 of the family's 1533-position model. The record is from RNAcentral. Lineage: Bacteria; Pseudomonadati; Pseudomonadota; Betaproteobacteria.
GGGAUAGAAUUCCAGGAGUAGCGGUGAAAUGCGUAGAUAUCUGGGGGAAUACCAAAGGCGAAGGCAGUCCCCUGGUCCGAUACUGACACUGAGGUACGAAAGCGUGGGGAGCAAACAGGAUUAGAUACCCUGGUAGUCCACGCCCUAAACGAUGUCGAUUAGCCAUUGGAAGGACCCCUUUUCCUUUCAGUGACGUAGCUAACGCGUUAAAUCGACCGCCUGGGAAGUACGACCGCAAGGUUAAAACUCAAAGGAAUUGACGGGGACCUGAACAAGCGGUGAAUGAUGUGGAUAAAUUCGAUGCUACGCGAAGAACCUUACCUACCUUUGACAUGGCCAAAGUUCUACCGAGAGGCGGAAGUACUCGUAAGAGGAUUGGCGCACAGGUGCUGCAUGGUUGUCGUCAGUUCGUGUCGUGAGAUGUUGGGUUCAGUCCCGCAACGAACGCAACCCUUAUCUUUAAUUGCUCCUAUUUUAACAGGCACUUUAAAGAAACUGCCAAUGAUAAGUUGGAGGAAGGUGGGGAUCACGUCAAGUCCGCAUGGCCUUUAUAGGUAGGGCUUCACACGUCAUACAAUGGUUAGAACAAAGAGCUGCAAAUUCGUAAGAAGGAGCCAAUCUCACAAACCUAACCUCAGUUCGAAUUGCGGUCUGCAACUCGAGCGCAUGAAGCCGGAAUCGCUAGUAAUCGUGGAUCAGAAUGCCACGGUGAAUACGUUCUUAGGUCUU